This 72-nucleotide transfer RNA is filed under the name Ciona intestinalis (vase tunicate). It matches the Rfam family "tRNA". From Rfam's summary of the family: Transfer RNA (tRNA) molecules are approximately 80 nucleotides in length. Lineage: Eukaryota; Metazoa; Chordata; Ascidiacea; Phlebobranchia; Cionidae. The record is from Rfam by way of RNAcentral.
GCCUCUAUAGCUCAGUGGUGAAACACUGGUCUAUUAAACCAGGGGUCAUUAGUUCAAUCCUCAUUGGAAGCA